GAUGAACGCUGGCGGCGUGCCUAAUACAUGCAAGUCGAGCGAACGGACGAGAAGCUUGCUUCUCUGAUGUUAGCGGCGGACGGGUGAGUAACACGUGGAUAACCUAUCUAUAAGACUGGGAUAACUUCGGGAAACCGUAGCUAAUACCGGAUCAUAUUUUGAACCGCAUGGUUCAAAAGUGAAAGACGGCCUUGCUGUCACUUAUAGAUGGAUCCGCGCUGCAUUAGCUAGUUGGUAAGGUAACGGCUUGCCAAGGCAACGAUGCAUAGCCGACCUGAGAGGGUGAUCAGCCACACUGGAACUGAGACACGGUCCAGACUCCUACGGGAGGCAGCAGUAGGGAAUCUUCCGCAAUGGGCGAAAGCCUGACGGAGCAACGCCGCGUGAGUGAUGAAGGUCUUCGGAUCGUAAAACUCUGUUAUUAGGGAAGAACAUAUGUGUAAGUAACUGUUCAUAUCUUGACGGUACCUAAUCAGAAAGCCACGGCUAACUACGUG
RNAcentral lists this ribosomal RNA (497 nucleotides) under uncultured bacterium. RNAcentral's name for it is "partial 16S ribosomal RNA". It matches the Rfam family "Bacterial small subunit ribosomal RNA", at positions 28 to 507 of the family's 1533-position model. The record is from RNAcentral.